UACGUAGGGUGCGAGCGUUGUCCGGAAUUAUUGGGCGUAAAGGGCUCGUAGGCGGUUUGUCGCGUCGGGAGUGAAAUCCACUGGCUUAACUGGUGGCUUGCUUUCGAUACGGGCAGACUGGAGGUAUGCAGGGGAGAACGGAAUUCCUGGUGUAGCGGUGAAAUGCGUAGAGAUCCGGAGGAACACCAGUGGCGAAAGCGGCCACCUGGACUGCACCUGACGCUGAAACGCGAAAGCUAGGGGAGCGAACGGG
RNAcentral lists this ribosomal RNA (253 nucleotides) under uncultured bacterium. Its description in RNAcentral is "partial 16S ribosomal RNA". It matches the Rfam family "Bacterial small subunit ribosomal RNA", at positions 524 to 776 of the family's 1533-position model. The record is from RNAcentral.